This 261-nucleotide unclassified non-coding RNA is filed under the name Yarrowia lipolytica. The record is from RNAcentral. Lineage: Eukaryota; Fungi; Ascomycota; Dipodascomycetes; Dipodascales.
CACGACAUUGGCCAAAAGUGAGUACAACAGGUUCGGUUGAGGACACGUUAAACUGAUGACAAGAGUGCAUUUGGCUCGAGACGUUAUGUCGGUGUGGAAAAACCCAAGCUACCUUAUUUUUUUACUUCUGAAACGUUUCUUAGGAAACAAUUGAUUUCAUCAAAACAUACUAACUCUUAGCAUCGAACCGCGUUGACGGUGAUGAUUGGCGAUCGGUGAUCGGUUCUAUAUAGAAUAUAGAAAUACAUGUGUUCGACUUUG